This 254-nucleotide ribosomal RNA is filed under the name uncultured bacterium. Its description in RNAcentral is "partial 16S ribosomal RNA". It matches the Rfam family "Bacterial small subunit ribosomal RNA", at positions 524 to 776 of the family's 1533-position model. The record is from RNAcentral.
UACGUAGGGGGCAAGCGUUGUCCGGAUUCAUUGGGCGUAAAGCGCUUUAAGGCGGUUCGAUAAGUCGGGUGUGAAAACUCCAGGCUCAACCUGGAGACGCCACUCGAUACUGUCGUGACUAGAGUCCGGUAGGGGACCACGGAAUACAUGGUGUAGCGGUGAAAUGCGUAGAUAUCAAGCGGAACACCAGUGGCGAAGGCGAGUCCCUGGACAACUCCUGACACUGAGGCACGAAAGCUAGGGGAGCAAACAGG